AUGGGCGAAGCCUGAUGGAGCAACGCCGCGUGUGUGAUGAAGGCUUUCNNUUCGUAAAGGGAAANAAUGUAUGGGAAGAACGGGUUUAAGAUUCCCCUGCUUAGACAGGGAAAGUACCAUACCAGAAAGGGACGGCUAAAUACGUGCCAGCAGCCGCGGUAAUACGUAUGUCCCGAGCGUUAUCCGGAUUUAUUGGGCGUAAAGCGAGCGCAGACGGUUGCUUAAGUCUGAAGUGAAAGCCCACAGCUCAACUGUGGAAUGGCUUUGGAAACUGGGCAACUUGAGUGCAGUAGAGGUAAGUGGAACUCCAUGUGUAGCGGUGAAAUAA
RNAcentral lists this ribosomal RNA (328 nucleotides) under uncultured bacterium. RNAcentral describes it as "bacterial SSU rRNA". It matches the Rfam family "Bacterial small subunit ribosomal RNA", at positions 371 to 689 of the family's 1533-position model. The record is from RNAcentral.